AUUGAAUGGAAGAUCCAAAGAUUUUUCUGAGAAUAGGAGACGUCUACUGUUGUUGGGCAUCAUUCAGGUAUGUCUUUUAGAGGGUAUUGAGUAAAAAUUUCUGGAACUUUUUAAAACAAUCUUCCAUUAUGCAUCCUCACUGAAUAUUUUAGUAUGAGUCUGUCCAUAGCCAAUACUGGCAACUGCCGUCUCAUUUAAACGAUUUUUGACGGGAUAUCAUGUUAUCUCUGACUAUACAAAUUUUCCUUUUCUCAUAAAAGAGCAAUGAUAUUUAAUAUUCAUUUCAUAAUCACAACAGAACACAUCAAAACAUGCUUGAUAUUCACCUUUUAGAAUUUUGAAUACAAAAAAAUAAUAUUAAAAAAUAUCCUGUCCCGAUUCGGAAACAGGACGUUAUCUAACCUAUUCUUUCUCUCUAUAUAUCAUUGUAGGUAUUUCCGGUGUUGACUUGAAACGUUUUCAUUCACGAUGUUGCGGAUUCAUCAUUGCAUUUGCAUGGGGUAGUGCAUAUGUUGUGUGUGGCCUUCUAAACGAUAAAUCUAUGGAUAAUAUGAUGAACAGGUCGAUGCAGGAAUAUUCAUUCUAAUGAUAAGGAAAUACGAAAUGCAAGGACAACCUCCAAGCAUGCAGUAUGCCUUAUACAAACAAUGAUGGAAUGUUCCAAACUAGGUGAGUAGAAGAUGCAUUCCAUGACUGACUCCCCAUAUGAUAUGAAAGAGAGCCAUGAGAAUGGAACCAACUUUCAGUGUUACAAUGGAUGAACACUCCUCCUGUCACAAGUCCAUCUUGAUUCAGUAAAGUGGUAGUCUAUUUAUCUAGGAAGCAACAAGACGGAUCUGGACAAGGACCAUAUUGACUCAAGUUUUGGUGUCAGAAGACCAUUUUGAUUAAACAUGUUAAAAGCACCACAGAAGUAAGAAGCUAGGAUACCAGUUUUAUAAACUAAAGAGUCGAAAGGCCCAGCUGGAGAGAAAUUCCCAUUUCUCGACCAAGGACAAAAAAAAAAAAGAUUAAAAAGGUGCUGACUAAGGAGGCAACGUCUCCAGAAGUAACGGAUGAUGAGGAAGCCACCCAGAGGAAGGUCUUACCAUUUAUAUGGGAGUCAUCCCUGCCGCGUAAUGUUAAGUGCGACCUGGACAGAGAGUAUGCUGAAUCUUUGCAACUUCAAUCAAAGAGACAAAAAGCCAAGGCCAUUAGAAGUAGAACGGAAAUGACUAUGACCCCACCACCUAGGAGCAUUCAAGAGUGGGCCGUUUCCUCUACUUAUAAAUGAUGCUAUUACUGUUAAUAGUUAUAUUUAAUUUCCUCAUUUCUAGCUCACCUGAGUCAAAGGCUCAAGGUCACAAUUAAUACUUUUAUACCAUUAUAACCAGUUUUUAUGAAAUUUUAAUAAUGCUGUUGAAGGAGAAUUGCAAUUUUUCGGAUGUUUAUAAUUGACACUGUUUAAGUAUGUCUAGCAUCUUAAAAAGUGUGAUGACCUAUAUAUUUCAUUUGAUAAUUUAUUAAUUUUAACUUUAAUAAAUUGAAAUAAAUGCAUUUUUGAUACUUUUAUCAGAGAAUAUUGCAAGUAUGGAGUUACCUUGAUAUAUUUAUACAGAUUUGUUCUGCUUUAGUACUAGUGUAUCAGUAUUAUUACAUCAAGUUCAUUUGUGUGAAUAUUAUAAUAUUUAAGAAUGAAUAAAACUGUCAAAUUGUG
This is a long non-coding RNA of Ostrea edulis (European flat oyster), 1696 nucleotides long. RefSeq lists it as uncharacterized. The record is from RefSeq and is a predicted model, not a curated record. The transcript is spliced from 4 exons. NCBI's taxonomy places the organism in Eukaryota, Metazoa, Mollusca, Bivalvia, Ostreida, Ostreidae.